RNAcentral lists this ribosomal RNA (230 nucleotides) under uncultured Lactobacillus sp. Its description in RNAcentral is "partial 16S ribosomal RNA". It matches the Rfam family "Bacterial small subunit ribosomal RNA", at positions 133 to 355 of the family's 1533-position model. The record is from RNAcentral. Lineage: Bacteria; Bacillati; Bacillota; Bacilli; Lactobacillales; Lactobacillaceae.
AUAGUCUGGGAUACCACUUGGAAACAGGUGCUAAUACCGGAUAAGAAAGCGGAUCGCAUGAUCAGCUUUUAAAAGGCGGCGUAAGCUGUCGCUAUGGGAUGGCCCCGCGGUGCAUUAGCUAGUUGGUAAGGUAAAGGCUUACCAAGGCGAUGAUGCAUAGCCGAGUUGAGAGACUGAUCGGCCACAUUGGGACUGAGACACGGCCCAAACUCCUACGGGAGGCAGCAGUU